GACUAUGUUGUUAUUUUGUCCAUAGCUACUAUUCUUGACCCAAGGUAUAAGGUGCAAUUUGUCAAAUUUAAAUUGAAAAAAUUUGAGACGGAUGAGUAUGUUAUAAAUAGAAAAGUGGACAAAAUUGUGGAUGCUAUGAAAUCUUUGUUCAUGGAAUAUGCAAUGGAGUUGUCAAAAGAUGGUUCACAACAACCUCAAGAUGGUGUAAGGACUUCAACUAUUGCUACCACUAACAUGGGCGAACAUAGUGAUGAUGAGUUUGAUGUAAGUAAAUGUUUUCACUUUUCAUGUAUUAUAAAGUUUUUAAUUUUUUGCAUAUUUAUCUGUAUUGCAUAUUUAUGUUGAUGAACUUUUGAAACUUAAAAUUUUAAAUAGGAGUUUGUGAGGGAAGUGCAAGGUACUACAUCAACAAGAACAGAAUUGGAACAAUACUUAGAGGAGAAAAUCGU
This 449-nucleotide long non-coding RNA is filed under the name Panax ginseng (ginseng). Its description in RNAcentral is "long non-coding RNA (PGIN_LNC006162)". Lineage: Eukaryota; Viridiplantae; Streptophyta; Magnoliopsida; Apiales; Araliaceae. The record is from RNAcentral.